UAUUAUUGUAUUAUGAGCUAAUGAUACUAUUUCACUGGUCAUUCAUGCUAUAUACAUGGGACCCCAAAUUGCAUUUUAAAAAGUCAAACUCCCUCAAAGGAGUCUGUAAAGAGGGUGAUGGUUGAUGGGGUGGGGGUUGCAAAUCUGGAAGGCAGUGUGACAGAUUCAAAGGCCCUCCCGCUGUGGGUGGUUUUCCGUAGCAUCUUAAAGCAGGAAAGCCCCACGGGGUCCCACUUUCUCCAAACACCAUUCACAGCCGCCAAGGCCAAGUGCUGCGCCCGGAGGGGCGCGGAAAACAUUCCGGGCAUCUCCCUAGACCAGGACUUUCAAUUCUUAGAACAAUAAAGCUGAGUCCAGCUGCUCUCUCUCCAGCCUGUGGGAAACCAGGCUUUUCACUGUCAGCAAUGCGAGAGAAAGGCGUUCAGCUUGCAGAGUCGCAGCCCGCUCUCCCGCAAGGCCGGCCCCUUUCUUUGCAGGCUAACUAUGCAAAUUCCCUGCAUCCCUGCCCGGCCGCGCGCGGAGAGGACGCGCAACCAUUCAAAGCCCGGUCGCCCGCUCCGGUCCAGCGCGUCGCCUGCGAAUGCGCCCGGGAAAGGGACGAUCCCUUGGCUGCAGGGCGCACAGCUGGGCACGAGGCCAAACACGCAUCUUUCCCACGCGGGUGCUGUGCGCUCCGCCUCCCUACUUUUGACCUGUUCCUUCCUGCGUUUUGAAUAACACGUGUAUCUUUGGGAGUGUGCCGGGGGUCACGGGUUGCAUGCAUAGACGUUUUCAAGAAAUAUUCGUGACCUCCUAGCCAACAAGCGGCGCCCUGACGGCUUAGUCUCUGGGGAGAGCGGGGCACGAGUGUCCGCAGAAAGGGGAGGAGGGCUUCUCGUCCUCCCGAGCAGUGACAGACGCUUUGAAAGUUGGCCGCGGAUUUCUGUUCUUGGCCAACCCUGCCCCGCGAGGUUGCCAGGCAUCCGGGCCCGCGCUCCCUCACCCCUAAGUGACCGCGGUCUACUCUGGGCGCGGAACGGCCGGUUCGGCCACCUCGGGGCCUGCACCCAGCGUGGCUGGGGGGGCGCCUGCAGCAAUCUCCAAGCCUGCGCCUCCCCGUGCGCUUCCCGCGCGCCCACCCUCCAUGAGUGGCCCGGGGACCCCCCUUUGCCGGGCCUCGGACCACCGGCUUUCUGCCGCCAGACGGACUGGAUCAUGGCCGCUGAACAAGACUGGAGAACUACACCGACCAGGAUCUCUUCAACCCAUGCCCACAGUCAUUAAGGCUGACCUUCAGAAUUGACCAGCAAUCUUAGGACCUGCUGGAAACUGUUCGCAUCCCACUGACUGAUCCCAUCUUUUCAGGGCUCAGCUGCAUUUCCCUCCAGCUAGGAUGCCCAUCAUCUCUUCCUUUUUCCUCUCAUUGAACUCCUAGCCAUCCCUCAAGACCCAACUCAAACAUCCCCUCCUGCAGGUAGCCUUCUGUGAUUGCUUCAGUGCUCACAGACUGCUUGCUCCUUUGUGCCACCAAUGUACUUUGUAAUGCAAUCUCCAUUUUAACGGAUCUGUGAAUUUUAUUAACUUAUUUUUCACAUUAAACAACGAAUUCUU
Molecule: long non-coding RNA, 1590 nt
Organism: Capra hircus (goat)
Lineage: Eukaryota; Metazoa; Chordata; Mammalia; Artiodactyla; Bovidae
Exons: 2
Source: RefSeq, a predicted model, not a curated record